This 460-nucleotide ribosomal RNA is filed under the name uncultured bacterium. Its description in RNAcentral is "partial 16S ribosomal RNA". It matches the Rfam family "Bacterial small subunit ribosomal RNA", at positions 338 to 795 of the family's 1533-position model. The record is from RNAcentral.
CCUACGGGAGGCAGCAGUGAGGAAUAUUGGUCAAUGGACGAGAGUCUGAACCAGCCAAGUAGCGUGAAGGAUGACUGCCCUAUGGGUUGUAAACUUCUUUUAUAAAGGAAUAAAACGAGGCACGUGUGCCUUUUUGCAUGUACUUUAUGAAUAAGGCUCGGCUAACUCCGUGCCAGCAGCCGCGGUAAUACGGAGGAUCCGAGCGUUAUCCGGAUUUAUUGGGUUUAAAGGGAGCGUAGAUGGGUUGUUAAGUCAGUUGUGAAAGUUUGCGGCUCAACCGUAAAAUUGCAAUGGAUACUGGUAGUCUUGAGUACAGUUGAGGUAGGCGGAAUUCGUGGUGUAGCGGUGAAAUGCUUAGAUAUCACGAAGAACCCCGAUUGCGAAGGCAGCUUACUAAACUGUGACUGACAUUGAUGCUCGAAAGUGUGGGUAUCAAACAGGAUUAGAUACCCUGGUAGUC